RNAcentral lists this ribosomal RNA (1388 nucleotides) under uncultured prokaryote. RNAcentral describes it as "partial 16S ribosomal RNA". It matches the Rfam family "Bacterial small subunit ribosomal RNA", at positions 29 to 1393 of the family's 1533-position model. The record is from RNAcentral.
ACGAACGCUGGCGGCGUGGAUUAGGCAUGCAAGUCGAACGAGGAUAUAUCCUUCGGGAUAUAAGCCGAGUGGCGCAAGGGUGAGUAAUGCAUAGAUUACCUGCCUCUAGGAUAAGGACAACUUUGUGAAAACGAAGCUAAUACUUAAUAAUACAAAAGAAAAUAAUUUUCUUUUGUCAAUGGGAGGGUAGCAAUACCUUUUGCCUGGAGAGGGGUUUAUGUCCUAUCAGCUUGUUGGUGGGGUAAUGGCCUACCAAGGCGAAGACGGGUAGCCGGUCUUAGAGGAUGGUCGGCCACACUGGGACUGAGACACUGCCCAGACUUCUACGGAAGGCUGCAGUCGAGAAUCUUUCGCAAUGCCCGAAAGGGUGACGAAGCGACGCCGCGUGGGUGAGGAAGGCCUUCGGGUUGUAAAGCCCUGUCAGGAGUUAAGAAAUGUAAGUGCGCUAAUAUCGCAUUUAUUUGACGAAGGCUCCAAAGGAAGCCACGGCUAACUCUGUGCCAGCAGCCGCGGUAAUACAGAGGUGGCAAGCGUUGUUCGGAAUUAUUGGGCGUAAAGAGCACGUAGGUGGGUUUGUAAGUCAGAUGUGAAAGCCUUCUGUUCAACGGAAGAAUUGCAUCUGAAACUGCGAGUCUUGAGUGUAGGAGGGGAGAAUGGAACUUCUGGUGGAGCGGUGAAAUGCGUAGAUAUCAGAAGGAACGCCGGCGGCGAAAGCGAUUCUCUGGCCUAUUACUGACACUCAGUGUGCGAAAGCUAGGGGAGCAAACGGGAUUAGAUACCCCGGUAGUCCUAGCCGUAAACGAUGGGCACUAAGUAGAGGGAAUUACCGAUGUUCUCUCUGCCGUAGCUAACGCAUUAAGUGCCCCGCCUGGGGAGUACGGCCGCAAGGCUAAAACUCAAAAGAAUUGACGGGGGCCCGCACAAGCGGUGGAGCAUGUGGUUUAAUUCGACGCAACGCGAAGAACCUUACCUGAACUUGACAUGCACGGGACCGCUCUAGAAAUAGAGUUUCUCUUCGGAGCCCGUGUGCAGGUGCUGCAUGGCUGUCGUCAGCUCGUGUCGUGAGAUGUUGGGUUAAGUCCCGCAACGAGCGCAACCCCUACCUUUAGUUGCCAUCGGGUCAUGCCGGGGACUCUAGAGGGACUGCCGGUGAUAAACCGGAGGAAGGUGGGGAUGACGUCAAGUCCUCAUGGCCUUUAUGUUCAGGGCUACACACGUGCUACAAUGGCCGGUACAAAGAGUCGCAAGACCGCGAGGUGGAGCUAAUCUCAUAAAGCCGGUCUCAGUUCGGAUUGGAGUCUGCAACUCGACUCCAUGAAGUUGGAAUCGCUAGUAAUCGUAGAUCAGCAUGCUACGGUGAAUACGUUCCCGGGCCUUGUACACACCGC